RNAcentral lists this ribosomal RNA (895 nucleotides) under Eurotiomycetes sp. genotype 137. RNAcentral describes it as "eukaryotic LSU rRNA". The stretch from base 439 to 895 matches the Rfam family "Eukaryotic large subunit ribosomal RNA", at positions 1 to 454 of the family's 3401-position model. The record is from RNAcentral. Lineage: Eukaryota; Fungi; Ascomycota; Eurotiomycetes.
UUUCGACGGCCGCCGGGGAGGCCUUGCGCCCCCGGGCCCGCGCCCGCCGAAGACCCCAACAUGAACGCUGUUCUGAAAGUAUGCAGUCUGAGUUGAUUAUCGUAAUCAGUUAAAACUUUCAACAACGGAUCUCUUGGUUCCGGCAUCGAUGAAGAACGCAGCGAAAUGCGAUAAGUAAUGUGAAUUGCAGAAUUCAGUGAAUCAUCGAGUCUUUGAACGCACAUUGCGCCCCCUGGUAUUCCGGGGGGCAUGCCUGUCCGAGCGUCAUUGCUGCCCUCAAGCACGGCUUGUGUGUUGGGCCCCCGUCCCCCUCUCCCGGGGGACGGGCCCGAAAGGCAGCGGCGGCACCGCGUCCGGUCCUCGAGCGUAUGGGGCUUUGUCACCUGCUCUGUAGGCCCGGCCGGCGCCAGCCGACACCCAACUUUAUUUUUCUAAGGUUGACCUCGGAUCAGGUAGGGAUACCCGCUGAACUUAAGCAUAUCAAUAAGCGGAGGAAAAGAAACCAACAGGGAUUGCCUCAGUAACGGCGAGUGAAGCGGCAAGAGCUCAAAUUUGAAAGCUGGCCCCUUCGGGGUCCGCGUUGUAAUUUGCAGAGGAUGCUUCGGGUGCAGCCCCCGUCUAAGUGCCCUGGAACGGGCCGUCAUAGAGGGUGAGAAUCCCGUCUGGGACGGGGUGUCUGCGUCCGUGUGAAGCUCCUUCGACGAGUCGAGUUGUUUGGGAAUGCAGCUCUAAAUGGGUGGUAAAUUUCAUCUAAAGCUAAAUACUGGCCGGAGACCGAUAGCGCACAAGUAGAGUGAUCGAAAGAUGAAAAGCACUUUGAAAAGAGAGUUAAACAGCACGUGAAAUUGUUGAAAGGGAAGCGUUUGCGACCAGACUCGCCCGCGGGGUUCAGCCG